GCAGUCGAGCGAGAGGAGUUCCUUCGGGAACAAUCUAGCGGCGGACGGGUGAGUAACACGUGGGCAACCUGCCUUGUAGAGGGGAAUAGCCUUCCGAAAGGAAGAUUAAUACCGCAUAACAUUACAUUUUCGCAUGAAGAAGUAAUUAAAGGAGCAAUCCGCUACAAGAUGGGCCCGCGGCGCAUUAGCUAGUUGGUGAGGUAACGGCUCACCAAGGCGACGAUGCGUAGCCGACCUGAGAGGGUGAUCGGCCACAUUGGGACUGAGACACGGCCCAGACUCCUACGGGAGGCAGCAGUGGGGAAUAUUGCACAAUGGGGGAAACCCUGAUGCAGCAACGCCGCGUGAGUGAUGAAGGUUUUCGGAUCGUAAAGCUCUGUCUUCAGGGACGAUAAUGACGGUACCUGAGGAGGAAGCCACGGCUAACUACGUGCCAGCAGCCGCGGUAAUACGUAGGUGGCGAGCGUUGUCCGGAUUUACUGGGCGUAAAGGGAGCGUAGGCGGAUUUUUAAGUGAGAUGUGAAAUACCCGGGCUCAACUUGGGUGCUGCAUUUCAAACUGGAAGUCUAGAGUGCAGGAGAGGAGAGUGGAAUUCCUAGUGUAGCGGUGAAAUGCGUAGAGAUUAGGAAGAACACCAGUGGCGAAGGCGACUCUCUGGACUGUAACUGACGCUGAGGCUCGAAAGCGU
Molecule: ribosomal RNA, 688 nt
Filed under: uncultured bacterium
Lineage: Bacteria
Description: bacterial SSU rRNA
Rfam family: Bacterial small subunit ribosomal RNA
Source: RNAcentral